GCGAGCCGGCGGGCGGCCCCCGGGCCCCAAGAGGGCCUGAGGAAACUCCAACCACCGGGCGGGACCGCGACGCCCGCAAGGGCGUGGGGCGAGAGCCCCGGCUCCGGAACAGAAACGGGACCCCCACGGGCGGAUGUCCAUGACGCCUUCGCCUUCAGAAGGGGUCGAGUAUGCCCGUGGGUUGGGUGAAACGGCCGACCCGCGGGGUGUAAGGGCGAGUAGGCCCCUAUGAGCUCCCGCCUGAGGGGCGGGUGGCCCGCUGAGCUGGAUGCCGCCUGAACAGAAGUUGGGUUACGACCGGCACGC
Molecule: RNase P RNA, 306 nt
Filed under: Candidatus Bathyarchaeota archaeon
Lineage: Archaea; Thermoproteati; Candidatus Bathyarchaeota
Description: RNase P RNA component
Rfam family: Archaeal RNase P
About the family: Ribonuclease P (RNase P) is a ubiquitous endoribonuclease, found in archaea, bacteria and eukarya as well as chloroplasts and mitochondria. Its best characterised activity is the generation of mature 5'-ends of tRNAs by cleaving the 5'-leader elements of precursor-tRNAs.
Source: RNAcentral